RNAcentral lists this ribosomal RNA (77 nucleotides) under Clostridium tarantellae. RNAcentral's name for it is "partial 23S ribosomal RNA". It matches the Rfam family "Bacterial large subunit ribosomal RNA", at positions 2852 to 2925 of the family's 2925-position model. Lineage: Bacteria; Bacillati; Bacillota; Clostridia; Eubacteriales; Clostridiaceae. The record is from RNAcentral.
GUUGAUAGGUCAGGGGUGUAAGCAUGGUAACAUGUUCAGCUGACUGAUACUAAUAGGUCGAGGGCUUGACCAAAUAA